CACUCCUGCGGGAGGCAGCAGUGGGGAAUAUUGGACAAUGGGCGCAAGCCUGAUCCAGCCAUGCCGCGUGAGUGAUGAAGGCCCUAGGGUUGUAAAGCUCUUUCACCGGUGAAGAUAAUGACGGUAACCGGAGAAGAAGCCCCGGCUAACUUCGUGCCAGCAGCCGCGGUAAUACGAAGGGGGCUAGCGUUGUUCGGAUUUACUGGGCGUAAAGCGCACGUAGGCGGACUAUUAAGUCAGGGGUGAAAUCCCGGGGCUCAACCCCGGAACUGCCUUUGAUACUGGUAGUCUUGAGUUCGAGAGAGGUGAGUGGAAGUCCGAGUGUAGAGGUGAAAUUCGUAGAUAUUCGGAGGAACACCAGUGGCGAAGGCGGCUCACUGGCUCGAUACUGACGCUGAGGUGCGAAAGCGUGGGGAGCAAACAGGAUUAGAAACCCUUGUAGUCCC
Molecule: ribosomal RNA, 446 nt
Filed under: uncultured organism
Description: partial 16S ribosomal RNA
Rfam family: Bacterial small subunit ribosomal RNA
Source: RNAcentral